AUGUCGUACAUGCGACGCGCGGUUGGUCAAGAACGUGCCGGGGGUGAAGAAGCUCGUUACCCUCUCCCGAGCCGGCUGCACAUGAACUUCGCCCAGCUCCUCCUCUCAUGCCUCGCCGGCGACCACCUCCUUCCGGCCGCGCACGACCGAGUCAUCUCCACCGAGGCUCUCCCGGGCGGCCGGGCCUCUUCCUCACCAACCUCAUUCUCCGUGGCUACUCCAAUCAAGCUGGUCCGCCUUGACGACCGCCACCUGUUCGACCGAAUGCCACGGUGGAACCUCGUCUCCUGGGGCUCUGCCAUCUCCAUGUAUGCGCAGAACGGCCGUGAGGAAGACGCCUCCGCCCUCUUAAUGGCCUUCGGGAGGGCCAGGGGCAGAAUGAGUUCCUACUCGCCACUGCCCUGA
This 405-nucleotide ribosomal RNA is filed under the name Triticum aestivum (bread wheat). RNAcentral describes it as "partial small subunit ribosomal RNA". Lineage: Eukaryota; Viridiplantae; Streptophyta; Magnoliopsida; Poales; Poaceae. The record is from RNAcentral.